AUUCAGCUGACGAGUCUCACAUAAGACGAAAUGCACGUCCUAGAC
This is a non-coding RNA of Schistosoma mattheei, 45 nucleotides long. NCBI's taxonomy places the organism in Eukaryota, Metazoa, Platyhelminthes, Trematoda, Strigeidida, Schistosomatidae. The record is from Rfam.